Molecule: non-coding RNA, 136 nt
Organism: Hordeum vulgare subsp. vulgare (domesticated barley)
Lineage: Eukaryota; Viridiplantae; Streptophyta; Magnoliopsida; Poales; Poaceae
Source: Rfam
AUAAUACUCCCUCCGUCCCAAAAUUCUUGUUUUAAAUUUGUCUAAAAAUAGAUGUAUCAAAAUAUGAAAACGUGACUAGAUACAUUCAUAUCUAGACAAGUCUAAGACAAGAAUUUUGGGACGGAGGAAGUAUAUG